This 27-nucleotide non-coding RNA is filed under the name Mus musculus (house mouse). Lineage: Eukaryota; Metazoa; Chordata; Mammalia; Rodentia; Muridae. The record is from RNAcentral. RNAcentral also lists the same sequence under 2 other names.
CACUAUGAAGCUAAGAGCGUUAACCUU